This is a long non-coding RNA of Lepisosteus oculatus (spotted gar), 371 nucleotides long. RefSeq lists it as uncharacterized. The record is from RefSeq and is a predicted model, not a curated record. Lineage: Eukaryota; Metazoa; Chordata; Actinopteri; Semionotiformes; Lepisosteidae.
AGAGCGCCUGUCUAGUGUUGGCGGCGAACUCCCUGGUUAAGAAAUCUACGGUGUGCGAUCUUGGCGUCCUUUCUCGACGAUCCUCUCGGAUUUCGUAUCGGAUGCAAUCUCAUAAUGUGCUUGGUCUGCAUACUGUACAUGUGGACUUCAGGAGCAGGGCAAUGAAAGACCUACAGUGCCAGGAUUACAAUGGCAUGUCUUCAAGUAAACAAUGCCAGCUUUUUCCCCUGACAAACUCCAGUAGAAUACCCACGGGACCAAUUCACCAAAUUACAUCGACAGCUGACAAGAGCAACCAGUCAACCUUUGAUGGCUAGCUGCAGCUGUAUUUGUGCUCACAUUUGCUGAGAUUUUGUUUGGUCCAAAACACU